RNAcentral lists this transfer RNA (71 nucleotides) under Actinomadura yumaensis. Its description in RNAcentral is "tRNA-Gln". It matches the Rfam family "tRNA". Rfam says of the family: Transfer RNA (tRNA) molecules are approximately 80 nucleotides in length. Their secondary structure includes four short double-helical elements and three loops (D, anti-codon, and T loops). Further hydrogen bonds mediate the characteristic L-shaped molecular structure. tRNAs have two regions of fundamental functional importance: the anti-codon, which is responsible for specific mRNA codon recognition, and the 3' end, to which the tRNAs corresponding amino acid is attached (by aminoacyl-tRNA synthetases). tRNAs cope with the degeneracy of the genetic code in two manners: having more than one tRNA (with a specific anti-codon) for a particular amino acid; and 'wobble' base-pairing, i.e. permitting non-standard base-pairing at the 3rd anti-codon position. RNAcentral also lists the same sequence under 1 other name. The record is from RNAcentral. Lineage: Bacteria; Bacillati; Actinomycetota; Actinomycetes; Streptosporangiales; Thermomonosporaceae.
UCCGGCGUGGUGUAACGGCAGCACGAGGGCUUUUGGUGCCUUGAGUCAGGGUUCGAAUCCUUGCGCCGGAG